Molecule: unclassified non-coding RNA, 237 nt
Filed under: Gongylonema nepalensis
Lineage: Eukaryota; Metazoa; Nematoda; Chromadorea; Rhabditida; Gongylonematidae
Description: ITS2
Source: RNAcentral
ACGUGAUGGAGAGAUUAUUUUACGCUAUAUCUCUUAUGCUUUACUUGCAGGAGAUGCUUCUGUAUUAGAAGAUCGCUGCCUAAAUGGUUUAAAAGAAACUUAUAUUGCUCUUGGCGUACCUAAUAAUUCUUCUGCUAGAUCUGUUGCUAUAAUGAAAUCUGCAGCUGUUGCAUUUGUUAGUAAUUCAGCAUCUCAACGUACAAUGCCUACAACUAGUGGUGAUUGUUCUGCAUUAUC